Molecule: ribosomal RNA, 253 nt
Filed under: uncultured bacterium
Lineage: Bacteria
Description: partial 16S ribosomal RNA
Rfam family: Bacterial small subunit ribosomal RNA
Source: RNAcentral
UACGAAGGGUGCAAGCGUUGCUCGGAAUUAUUGGGCGUAAAGGGUUGGUAGGUGGUGAUACAAGUCUGGAGUGAAAUCCCUGAGCUUAACUUAGGACGUGCUUUGGAAACUGUAUCACUAGAGUGCUAGAGAGGUUCGUGGAAUUCCUGGUGUAGCGGUGAAAUGCGUAGAGAUCAGGAGGAACAUCAGCGGCGAAGGCGGCGAACUGGAUAGUAACUGACACUGAACAACGAAAGCGUGGGGAGCAAACAGG